UACGUAGGGACCGAGCGUUGUCCGGAUUCAUUGGGCGUAAAGAGCUCGUAGGCGGCCACUCAAGUCGAAUGUGAAACCUCGAGGCUUAACCUCGAGCCUGCAUUCGAUACUGGGCGGCUAGAGUCUGGUAGGGGGAUCUGGAAUUCCUGGUGUAGCGGUGGAAUGCGCAGAUAUCAGGAGGAACACCGGUGGCGAAGGCGGGAUCCUGGGCCGUUCCCGACGCUGAGACGCGAAAGCUAGGGGAGCGAACAGG
RNAcentral lists this ribosomal RNA (253 nucleotides) under uncultured bacterium. Its description in RNAcentral is "partial 16S ribosomal RNA". It matches the Rfam family "Bacterial small subunit ribosomal RNA", at positions 524 to 776 of the family's 1533-position model. The record is from RNAcentral.